AUACUCAACCUUUGGCUAAGAUCAAGUGUAGUUUCUAUUCUUAUCAAUUUAAUAUUUGAUACAUGGGGCAAUGCCUCACACGAUAUUACAUCAAUUUUUUGACAAGGGGAGGAUCCACCACAAUAGCUUGCUAUUGGGAUAUUCAUGAGUCAUUUAUGUGUUGUACUACUGCAAGAGACUGGCCCACCCCCU
Molecule: non-coding RNA, 192 nt
Organism: Thalictrum thalictroides
Lineage: Eukaryota; Viridiplantae; Streptophyta; Magnoliopsida; Ranunculales; Ranunculaceae
Source: the annotation of a GenBank genome assembly